GUGCCAGCCGCCGCGGUAAUACGGAGGGUGCGAGCGUUAAUCGGAAUUACUGGGCGUAAAGCGCAUGCAGGUGGUUUGUUAAGUCAGAUGUGAAAGCCCGGGGCUCAACCUCGGAAUUGCAUUUGAAACUGGCAGACUAGAGUACUGUAGAGGGGGGUAGAAUUUCAGGUGUAGCGGUGAAAUGCGUAGAGAUCUGAAGGAAUACCGGUGGCGAAGGCGGCCCCCUGGACAGAUACUGACACUCAGAUGCGAAAGCGUGGGGAGCAAACAGGAUUAGAUACCCUGGUAGUCCACGCCGUAAACGAUGUCUACUUGGAGGUUGUGGCCUUGAGCCGUGGCUUUCGGAGCUAACGCGUUAAGUAGACCGCCUGGGGAGUACGGUCGCAAGAUUAAAACUUAAAUGAAUUGACGGGG
RNAcentral lists this ribosomal RNA (414 nucleotides) under uncultured bacterium. RNAcentral's name for it is "bacterial SSU rRNA". It matches the Rfam family "Bacterial small subunit ribosomal RNA", at positions 505 to 918 of the family's 1533-position model. The record is from RNAcentral.